GAAACGUACGUGGUGAAUAAAAGAUAUGUGGAGUGAAGCGGUCAGCGAGGCCCUGCUGUCUCUUCUGCGGCCUACUGCGGAACAUGAAGCGCCUUGUCGGGCCAAUGAGGCUACGGGGAUUGGCCGACGGCUGGCCAAUGGGAGCCUGGCUGAGUCAGUCCAAUCCCGAAAGGACGAAGAUAAAAAGUUUGCUCCGGCAGGCUGUGAAAAUCCGCGAACAGAAAGAGGGAGGGGGACAAGCCGCGCGUGUUAGAGAGAAAGAUGAGCGAAGCCGAAGGGCAGGGCGCCCCGUCGCCUGCGCCGCUGGAAGAGCAGCCACAGCCAGAGAGGAAAGUCAUAGCUACACUAGUACAAGGCACCGUCAAAUGGUUCAAUGUCCGAAAUGGAUAUGGCUUCAUCAACAGGAACGACACCAAAGAGGACGUGUUUGUCCACCAGACUGCAAUUAAGAAAAACAACCCCAAGAAGUUCCUUCGCAGCGUUGGGGAUGGGGAGAUUGUUGAGUUUGACGUCGUCCAGGCAGCGAAGGGUUCCGAGGCAGCGAAUGUGACCGGCCCAGGAGGAGUCCCAGUUAAAGGCAGCCGCUAUGCCCCCAACAAACGCCGGUUCCGUCGCCGGUUCUUCCCCCGUGGCCCCCCCCCCCCCCCCCCAGCUGACCAGGUAAAGGGAGGUGACGCUCCCUUAGCACCAUCCCCGGACGGGGGGGAGGUACCAGCUGCAGAUGGAGGCUCCCAGCCUCUUCCUCGCCGGCGAAGGCCGCGUCGGAGACAGCAACCUGUGACUGGGGAAGAGAAGGACACAGAAGAUGCAGAAGGAGAGAUGGUCCAGCAAAGGCCGCCGCCUCGGAGAUUCCGGCCACGCUUUCGCAGGCCUUUCCGACCCCGGCUGUCCCCCGAGGAACGUGUAGAGGGGCAACAGCAGCCAGCACCUGCCCCAGCCACAUCAGGAGAGGAUGAGCAGGCAGCAGGAUCUACGCCAGCUGAGGGAGCACAGCCAGAAGCUCAGAAACCCCGCAGACAGUUCAGCCGUCGCAGGCAGCGAGCUUCAGAGUCGGCGCCCAAGGAUGUGGCAGAUAAGCCUGCUGAAGAGAGUUCACCAAGGCAGGUUGUAAAACCGACAGACCCAACGUCUUCUCCCAAGCCCUCCCCGAAAUCCUCCCCCAGAGUGUCACCCAAAACGGUCAAGCUGCCCGAAGAGGUUUCUGUGAUUCCGGCAACCCCACCCACAGAGUGAUGUCAUUAGAUGGAGAAAAUAUGUACCUAACAAAAGGGAACCUCCCAAUGCAUAUUUUUAGCCAAAUGAAGUCUUGGAUCCAGGAUGGGUUAGCCGCUGGGGGUCUGUUUACCCUUUCUCAGCUGGUCCACUGUCUGAUGGACCCCCAGAGCCACUCAGUUUGUCUGGACCCUUCAGCUAUGUACCUGUGAGGUGGGGGGAGGAUGUAUGUGUAUGUUAAGGGGUGUGGAAAUUUAAAAACUAAAGGAUGCCUGCACUAAUGCCCAGAUAUUCCAUGUUUUCCCCAGUUUACUUUAGUCUACUGAAAAUGGGCAUAAGCAGCGGAAAUGAACAUGCUAAUGUUUGGCUGUUUAAGUUGAGUAAAGGAAGGUGGUAGGAUGCUGAAUUAACACCACCUACCAGGGACAAGGGUACCACACUUGCUUCUGAUUUUUUUUGGAUCUAAGCUGGAUGACUUGUCCCUUUCCCAGUUGACUCGGUUAAAUUUGUUUGGUUUUUUUUGCACUUUUGGAGGGGAUUGUAUGCAAUAAAUCUGUCCUGUAUUAAAAAAAAAAUUAGAAAGCUAA
This is a non-coding RNA of Paramormyrops kingsleyae, 1799 nucleotides long. Lineage: Eukaryota; Metazoa; Chordata; Actinopteri; Osteoglossiformes; Mormyridae. The record is from RefSeq and is a predicted model, not a curated record.